This 253-nucleotide ribosomal RNA is filed under the name uncultured bacterium. RNAcentral describes it as "partial 16S ribosomal RNA". It matches the Rfam family "Bacterial small subunit ribosomal RNA", at positions 524 to 776 of the family's 1533-position model. The record is from RNAcentral.
GACAGGGGGCUCAAGCGUUAAUCGGAAUCACUGGGCUUAAAGGGUGCGUAGGCGGCUAUGUAAGUCAGGAGUGAAAGUUUGCGGCUCAACCGUAAAAUUGCUUUUGAUACUGCAUUGCUGGAAUUAGGAUGAGGUCAGCGGAAUGUGGCAUGUAGCGGUGAAAUGCAUAGAUAUGCCAUAGAACACCAAUUGCGAAGGCAGCUGGCUAGACCUGGAUUGACGCUGAGGCACGAAAGCGUGGGGAGCGAACAGG